Molecule: ribosomal RNA, 539 nt
Filed under: Triticum aestivum (bread wheat)
Lineage: Eukaryota; Viridiplantae; Streptophyta; Magnoliopsida; Poales; Poaceae
Description: partial small subunit ribosomal RNA
Source: RNAcentral
UCAUGUAGAUGACUGUUAGCACCUUCUUACUGACUCCCCUGGUUCGCGAUCAUCUUAUGAUGUCCCUUCGUCCCUGUAAGUUACGAUGACCUAACACGUGGACCAUCAGGUUUGAAUGUGGUCUACUGGCCACUGGUUGAAGGGACGGAGAUGUUCGAGGAGCUCCUACUGAACCACCAUCGACCCUAGGGGAUUUCGCCGGUUUAGGACCACGUGGGUCGGCGGCGAGCACUAGGGGAGAGGAAGUCGAGGUGAAGCGCCGUGACAGUCAGGUGUCCUCAUCCCCGUCCACGGGUAGUUGUUUUUCCUUGUUUGCCAUAUACGAACCUUUGAAUUUUAAGACAUGUGUAAACCCUUUGUAUACAAUAUCGAAGAAAGUUUCAAGUUUUGUCUACCAUGUCCUUCAUGUACAUAAGUACACCCACGAACUUUCAAGACAUGUCCUUAUCCGGCUACUAAAAACACGAUACUUAUUAUACUAAAUACAUGUACAUAAUAUACACACCUUUGUUAAAGACACUCUACUACUUUCCUUUUUA